This 410-nucleotide ribosomal RNA is filed under the name uncultured bacterium. Its description in RNAcentral is "bacterial SSU rRNA". It matches the Rfam family "Bacterial small subunit ribosomal RNA", at positions 355 to 762 of the family's 1533-position model. The record is from RNAcentral.
UGAGGAAUAUUGGGCAAUGCCCGCAAGGGUGACCCAGCAACGCCGCGUGGAGGAUGAAUGUCGUAAGAUUGUAAACUCCUGUUAGAGGGGAAGAAUAGUACCGGUUGGACCGGUAUAUGACUGUACCCUCAGAGAAAGCCCCGGCUAACUACGUGCCAGCAGCCGCGGUAAUACGUAGGGGGCAAGCGUUGUCCGGAUUUACUGGGUGUAAAGGGCACGCAGGCGGGAUAAAAAGUCAGUGGUGAAAUCCUACAGCUUAGCUGUAGAACUGCCUUUGAUACUUUUAUUCUUGAGUUCGGGAGAGAGAGACGGAAUUCCAGGUGUAGUGGUGAAAUACGUAGAUAUCUGGAAGAACACCAGUUGCGAAGGCGGUCUCUUGGUCCGACACUGACGCUGAGGCGCGAAAGCGU